Molecule: unclassified non-coding RNA, 145 nt
Filed under: soil metagenome
Description: partial internal transcribed spacer 1
Source: RNAcentral
UAAUAAGUGUUUUAUGGCACUUUUUAAAUCCAUAUCCACCCUGUGUGCAAUGUCAGUCGAUCUUCUUCAUGGAGAUCGACCAAACAUCAACCUUUAUCUUUUAACUCUUUGUCUUAAAAAUAUUAUGAAUAAACAAUUCAAAAUA